GAAUUUAAACCUCUUCCAGAGUAUCAAUUGGAGGGCAAGUCUGGUGCCAGCAGCCGCGGUAAUUCCAGCUCCAAUAGCGUAUAUUAAAAUUGUUGCAGUUAAAAAGCUCGUAGUUGAAUUUCUGCUGCAUUGCUUUUGCUCCUUUACGAGUCUUUGCAUUGUGGCUUAUUUCGGACUUUGUUUUACAAUGUCCGGAUGUUUACUUUGAGAAAAUUAGAGUGCUCAAAGCAGGCUUUCGCCUUGAAUAGUUUAGCAUGGAAUAAUAAAGUAGGACUUUGGUUCUAUUUUGUUGGUUUUAGGUACCAAAGUAAUGGUUAAUAGGAACAGUUGGGGGCAUUCGUAUUUAACUGUCAGAGGUGAAAUUCUUAGAUUUGUUAAAGACGAACUACUGCGAAAGCAUUUGCCAAGGAUGUUUUCAUUAAUCAAGAACGAAAGU
RNAcentral lists this ribosomal RNA (436 nucleotides) under Theileria ovis. Its description in RNAcentral is "SSU rRNA". It matches the Rfam family "Eukaryotic small subunit ribosomal RNA", at positions 521 to 990 of the family's 1831-position model. Lineage: Eukaryota; Apicomplexa; Aconoidasida; Piroplasmida; Theileriidae. The record is from RNAcentral.